GCGAGGGUUGCCCAGCCCGGUCAAAGGCGCCGGACUUAAGAUCCGGUUUCGAAGGAAUUCGAGGGUUCGAAUCCCUCCCCUCGCACCA
RNAcentral lists this transfer RNA (88 nucleotides) under Methanohalophilus halophilus. RNAcentral describes it as "tRNA-Leu". It matches the Rfam family "tRNA". From Rfam's summary of the family: Transfer RNA (tRNA) molecules are approximately 80 nucleotides in length. The record is from RNAcentral. Lineage: Archaea; Methanobacteriati; Methanobacteriota; Methanomicrobia; Methanosarcinales; Methanosarcinaceae.